GAGAGUUUGAUCCUGGCUCAGGAUGAACGCUGGCGGCGUGCCUAAUACAUGCAAGUCGAGCGAAUGGAUUAAGAGCUUGCUCUUAUGAAGUUAGCGGCGGACGGGUGAGUAACACGUGGGUAACCUGCCCAUAAGACUGGGAUAACUCCGGGAAACCGGGGCUAAUACCGGAUAACAUUUUGAACCGCAUGGUUCGAAAUUGAAAGGCGGCUUCGGCUG
RNAcentral lists this ribosomal RNA (219 nucleotides) under Bacillus anthracis (anthrax bacterium). Its description in RNAcentral is "partial 16S ribosomal RNA". It matches the Rfam family "Bacterial small subunit ribosomal RNA", at positions 7 to 217 of the family's 1533-position model. Lineage: Bacteria; Bacillati; Bacillota; Bacilli; Caryophanales; Bacillaceae. The record is from RNAcentral.